Molecule: ribosomal RNA, 254 nt
Filed under: uncultured soil bacterium
Lineage: Bacteria
Description: partial 16S ribosomal RNA
Rfam family: Bacterial small subunit ribosomal RNA
Source: RNAcentral
AGGGCGAACGCUGGCGGCGUGCUUAACACAUGCAAGUCGAGCGGUAAGGCCUUUCGGGGUACACGAGCGGCGAACGGGUGAGUAACACGUGGGUGAUCUGCCCUGCACUUCGGGAUAAGCCUGGGAAACUGGGUCUAAUACCGGAUAUGACCUCCUAUCGCAUGGUGGGUGGUGGAAAGAUUUAUCGGUGCAGGAUGGGCCCGCGGCCUAUCAGCUUGUUGGUGGGUAAUGGCCUACCAAGGCGACGACGGGUA